Molecule: ribosomal RNA, 473 nt
Filed under: uncultured bacterium
Lineage: Bacteria
Description: bacterial SSU rRNA
Rfam family: Bacterial small subunit ribosomal RNA
Source: RNAcentral
AGAGUUUGAUCCUGGCUCAGGAUGAACGCUGGCGGUAUGCUUAACACGUGCAAGUCGGACGGGAAGUGGUGUUUCCAGUGGCAGACGGGUGAGUAACGCGUAAGAACCUGCCCUUGGGAGGGGAACAAUAGCUGGAAAUGACUGCUAAUACCCCAUAGGCUGAGGAGAAAAAGGGGGAAUCUGCCCCAGGAGGGGCUCGCGUCUGAUUAGUUAGUUGGUGAGGCAAUGGCUUACCAAGGCGACGAUCAGUAGCUGGUCUGAGAGGAUGAUCAACCACGCUGGGGCUGAGACAUGGCCCAGACUCCUACGGGAGGAAGCAGUGGGGAAUUUUCUGCAAUGGGCGACAGCCUGAUGGAGCAAUGCCGCGUGAAGGCAAAAGGCCCACGAGUCAUGAACUUCUUUUCUCGGAGAAGAAAAAUGACGGUCUCUGAGGAAUAAGCAUCAGCUAAAUCUGUGCCAGCAGCCGCGGUAAU